RNAcentral lists this unclassified non-coding RNA (229 nucleotides) under uncultured fungus. Its description in RNAcentral is "sequence contains ITS1, 5.8S rRNA gene". Lineage: Eukaryota; Fungi. The record is from RNAcentral.
UCUCCGUAGGUGAACCUGCGGAGGGAUCAUUACUGAGUGAGGGCCUCCCCGGCCCGACCUCCAACCCUUUGUGAACACAACUUGUUGCUUCGGGGGCGACCCUGCCGUUUCGACGGCGAGCGCCCCCGGAGGCCUUCAAACACUGCAUCUUUGCGUCGGAGUUUAAGUAAAUCUAAAACAAACUUUCAACAACGGAUCUCUUGGUUAUGGCAUCGAUGCAGAACGCAGC